Molecule: transfer RNA, 76 nt
Filed under: Sorangium cellulosum
Lineage: Bacteria; Pseudomonadati; Myxococcota; Polyangiales; Polyangiaceae
Description: tRNA-Leu
Rfam family: tRNA
About the family: Transfer RNA (tRNA) molecules are approximately 80 nucleotides in length. Their secondary structure includes four short double-helical elements and three loops (D, anti-codon, and T loops). Further hydrogen bonds mediate the characteristic L-shaped molecular structure. tRNAs have two regions of fundamental functional importance: the anti-codon, which is responsible for specific mRNA codon recognition, and the 3' end, to which the tRNAs corresponding amino acid is attached (by aminoacyl-tRNA synthetases). tRNAs cope with the degeneracy of the genetic code in two manners: having more than one tRNA (with a specific anti-codon) for a particular amino acid; and 'wobble' base-pairing, i.e. permitting non-standard base-pairing at the 3rd anti-codon position.
Source: RNAcentral
GCCCGGGUGGCGAAACGGCAAACGCGGCUGGCUCAGACCCAGCUUACUGGGGGUUCGACUCCCUCCCCGGGCACCU